UGGGGAAUAUUGGGCAAUGGGCGCAAGCCUGACCCAGCAACGCCGCGUGAAGGAAGAAGGCUUUCGGGUUGUAAACUUCUUUUCUCAGGGACGAAGCAAGUGACGGUACCUGAGGAAUAAGCCACGGCUAACUACGCGCCAGCAGCCGCGGUAAUACGUAGGUGGCAAGCGUUAUCCGGAUUUACUGGGUGUAAAGGGCGUGUAGGCGGGAAAGCAAGUCAGAUGUGAAAACCAUGGGCUCAACCUGUGGCCUGCAUUUGAAACUGUUUUCCUUGAGUACUGGAGAGGCAGACGGAAUUCCUAGUGUAGCGGUGAAAUGCGUAGAUAUUAGGAGGAACACCAGUGGCGAAGGCGGCCGCCUGGCCUGUAACUGACGCUCAGGCACGAAAGCGUGGGGAGCAAAUAGGAUUAGAUACC
RNAcentral lists this ribosomal RNA (417 nucleotides) under uncultured bacterium. Its description in RNAcentral is "bacterial SSU rRNA". It matches the Rfam family "Bacterial small subunit ribosomal RNA", at positions 355 to 786 of the family's 1533-position model. The record is from RNAcentral.